AGUCUUAUAGUCAAUAAUGAUAUUAAAUUGCAAAUUUAAAGGUAAAAAUUUUUUUAAGGCUU
This 62-nucleotide transfer RNA is filed under the name Proegmena sp. BMNH 846583. RNAcentral's name for it is "tRNA-Cys". The record is from RNAcentral. Lineage: Eukaryota; Metazoa; Arthropoda; Insecta; Coleoptera; Chrysomelidae.